This is a long non-coding RNA of Mustela erminea (ermine), 1974 nucleotides long. RefSeq lists it as uncharacterized. Lineage: Eukaryota; Metazoa; Chordata; Mammalia; Carnivora; Mustelidae. The transcript has 5 exons. The record is from RefSeq and is a predicted model, not a curated record.
UCUGGGGAGUAGAACAUUCCAGCAAGGGAACAACUUGUGCUUAAAGUGUGGAGGAAACCUUAAGGAACUUCCAAAUAUAGCAAGCCGGACACAGUUCCACCACUGAGAAAUACAGGCUGCUCCUUCCUCCUCUUCAAUCUCUCCGACACACCAUCCACAGUCCCACACACACAGUGAAAGGACGGGUCUCUCACUGCACACACCACUUAUCAUCACUUGUUAUUACGAAGACACGGCUUCACUUCGUCAGUCCACGACCUCGCUGCCGGGAUGCAGAGAAUCCCCAGGACCUUCCUAUGAAGGAGUUUAUAGGACAUGCCCCGCUCUCUUGGGACAAGAACAGCAGGAGCAAGUCGGUGUCUAAGGGCGGGACUGAGAGACAGGACGAAGACAGAAACACAGUGUUCUAAGGGCACUUCUGCUCCCACGGCAAGUGGUAAAGUUAUGCCACAAAUCCAGGGUGCCUAGCAUCUGGCACUUACUGAAUGGCCUACAUUGAAUCGUGUUAAACUUAUACUUGAGGAACAGGAUCUGAGACAAAGACACUGAGAGAUGCAGAAACUGAAGUGGAUGCCGGCAAGACACCACGCCAGGAAACCCGCCCUCUGGCAGAUAACUGUCAUGGCUGUAAUUCGGUACAAAGGAAACUGACUCGUUAAUUCUCAACAAACUGAAAGCAUCUUGAGAUAAGAUCCUGUCGUCCCUGGAUUCCUCACCUUGCCCAGAGCCCAACAGAGCUCCUGGAAUGAUGUUCGAAUUGCCCAGAAAGGAGUCCUUCAGACUCUGGCAGGCGAGGAAAUGUUCCAAGGCCAGCACUACAAAAGGACUCGAGAUCAGAUGGGCCCAGCCAGCAUCAUUUCACGCUCCACAUUGAUUUUCACGUGGCACUUGAUUUUUGUCAACACAUACACAUCGAAAACUCAAUUUCAAAAUGAUAAGAUGUCAUAGAGAAGAAUGUAGAGUGCUCUGGAGUUGAAACUCUGAACUGUUCCAAGUUAGUAGUUGUAUCUAUCAGAUGUUGAGUAUCACUGUGUUUACAUCAAAAACAUCAAACACGACAGCACCUCUGUCGAUUUGGUGUGGUGUCCCAGGUUCGAGAACCACAGGCUUCACACAACCCACUUUUGUUUAGCCUACCAUCUGAACCUGGACUUGCAUUAAGCUUUGAGCUACAGACAGUCUAUUGGGAUCUCAAGCAUCCUUACCAUUGCUCUCCUACAACUCAGCACCUUACUGCAUUUACCAAGUAUAAUUAACUUCACAUUCUGAAUCAUAGAAUCAGAACAUUGACUCGGGAUCUAAGAUCUAAGAUGAUGGGCAGCACUGGUUAGCAGAGAUUCGUACUGAAAGUACAAGGCACUGUAUUUUUAUAUGUAUAAUUUCCCGGUCAGCAAGACACAGUAUUUUUAAUUUUGUAUGCCAUUAGACAAUGCUAUAGAAGUAACUCAAUACAGUUUGUGGCUGCUUCCAGACAGCUGAGUAAGGGCCUGAGUAUUAACAGCUGUCAAAUGAGUGUUCUGUGCCUCCGCACCACCCCCGCCCCAGACGAGUCUUUGAAGGAUUCAAUCAGUAUAAAGUCAGAAUGUCAAAGAAAGAGGCCAGAGCAGGUAAUAUGACAAACGGAUGUUGGUCUUAAGUAAGCUGACUAGCUAUUAAUUCACAAAACAGUCUGAAAAGAUUUGUGAUGCAAGCUGACUUCUGUCUAGACAGAGAAGGGAGUGUAAAACACAUUAGACAGAUACAACACAGCAGUGACAAGAAAAACCUGUUUUAGUUUCUCAAAUGCAUUAGGAGAGAAUCUGCUAGGUCCUUCUUUAUCUUAAUAUCUAAUCCCUAAUGGGGCUACAGCUAGGUACUAGUGAAUUUCAACUUUAUUUCUAGAGCUUCAACACAUCUUACACGGGUUUUUAAAAAACGAAGAAGAGUAAAGAGAUAAAAAGAAGGAAGGAGGGAAAAGGAGAGAUGAAAAGAGAG